RNAcentral lists this long non-coding RNA (865 nucleotides) under Equus caballus (horse). Its description in RNAcentral is "lncRNA (ENSECAG00000057863.1)". The record is from RNAcentral. Lineage: Eukaryota; Metazoa; Chordata; Mammalia; Perissodactyla; Equidae.
GUACAAUGUUGGAUUUGGGGAUUACUAAAAUUGGUGUGUGGGUGGUGAUAAAGAAUUAGAGUGGGGAAUUGGUUGGGAGGGAUGACAGAGCAUCAGUUUUGGUUUUUUGUAUUUUAUUAGUGUUCAUGCCAGCUACAUUUCUGUUACUCUUAUUGGCCAAGUAAAUGUGUUAUAUUAAACCAGGUAAGUAGUUUAAACAGAGGAAAUUUUACUUGCAAAUGUCCCUACAAAUUGGCCCAUUUUAGUGGGUGGGAGAACAAAAAGGGAUUACCUAACUUUAAAUACAAACUAAGUAAUUGAAAUAACCUGCUAGUUGAGAGGGAAAAAAGUCCAAUUUCUCAAUAUUUUCUUAAUCUGAAAUCACACUAGUAGUAAUAUGGUGAUUUUUAUUAUUAGGAGUGUUCUCCCUCUAGAGUGGCAUUCCAUGGCAUUAAUAGAAAACCCUUCUUUCCCACCCCUCCCCAUCUUCAAAUUUUCUUUUUUAGGAUGUUGGUUCCUGCACACAAGAACUGACCCUAUCACCUCUGCUCACAGUGGGUCAAUGUGCUAAAACCGAAUCGUAACAUUUUUAGGCACAAAUGGAAAAAAUGUUAUUGGCUCCUUGAGAAUGUGUGUGUGUGGCGAGGGGAACAGAUCCACAGAAGCAUGUGUGUACUUACAAACCAAGCUGUAGAGAUCAAGAGAAGAACUACAGUGUUGAUCUCAACGUUUCUAAAUUGUCAAGAUUUACAUGGCAUUGUGGUGAACUAGUUAACGCUUAGAGCUUUUGGUAUGUAAUAACUAUUUGCUAUGGACUGACUAAAUGUUUCAAAGGAUUGUGUUCUUAAAUUUUGGGGGGUUUUGUUUUUGUUUUUUUUUUAACUGC